UAGUAUCUACUAUCUGCUGUUUACUGUUUAGUAUCUACUAUCUGCUGUUUACUGUUUAGUACCUACUAUCUGCUGUUUACUGUUCAGUACCUACUAUCUGCUGUAUACUGUUUAUACCUACUAUCUGCUGUUUACUGUUCAGUACCUACUAUCUGCUGUAUACUGUUUAUACCUACUAUCUGCUGUUUACUGUUCAGUACCUACUAUCUGCUGUAUACUGUUUAUAUCUACUAUCUGCUGUUUACUGUUUAGUACCUUCUAUCUGUUGUAUACUGUUUAGUAUCUACUAUCUG
Molecule: long non-coding RNA, 293 nt
Organism: Labrus mixtus (cuckoo wrasse)
Lineage: Eukaryota; Metazoa; Chordata; Actinopteri; Labriformes; Labridae
Exons: 4
Source: RefSeq, a predicted model, not a curated record